UUUCAUUAAAGUAUAAAUUACAUUAAGCUUAGAACUUAAAAAAAAUAAAUGAAAA
This 55-nucleotide transfer RNA is filed under the name Tetranychus truncatus. RNAcentral's name for it is "tRNA-Leu". The record is from RNAcentral. Lineage: Eukaryota; Metazoa; Arthropoda; Arachnida; Trombidiformes; Tetranychidae.